RNAcentral lists this ribosomal RNA (301 nucleotides) under uncultured bacterium. RNAcentral describes it as "partial 16S ribosomal RNA". It matches the Rfam family "Bacterial small subunit ribosomal RNA", at positions 509 to 807 of the family's 1533-position model. The record is from RNAcentral.
CAGUCGCCGCGGUAAAACGAAGGGGGCUAGCGUUGUUCGGAAUUACUGGGCGUAAAGCGCACGUAGGUGGUUUUUUAAGUCUGAUGUGAAAGCCCACGGCUCAACCGUGGAGGGUCAUUGGAAACUGGAAAACUUGAGUGCAGAAGAGGAAAGUGGAAUUCCAUGUGUAGCGGUGAAAUGCGCAGAGAUAUGGAGGAACACCAGUGGCGAAGGCGACUUUCUGGUCUGUAACUGACGCUGAUGUGCGAAAGCGUGGGGAUCAAACAGGAUUAGAUACCCCAGUAGUCCCUGUCUCUUAUAC